Long non-coding RNA from Thalassophryne amazonica, 183 nucleotides. RefSeq lists it as uncharacterized. The transcript has 3 exons. The record is from RefSeq and is a predicted model, not a curated record. NCBI's taxonomy places the organism in Eukaryota, Metazoa, Chordata, Actinopteri, Batrachoidiformes, Batrachoididae.
ACAAACAGUUUCUAUUGCAAACGCUGUUUUAUACUUCACAAUUCUUUUAACACUGCAGUGAGGGGACCGAGCAAAUUUACAGUUGGAAAUUGCAUUUGUCUUAUUUUUUAAAAUAUGUUUGCAAACUAUACUGAUGAUUAUUGUGUGAAUGUGUUUGUUUGUCUGUAUGUGACACUGUGACAU